GACGAACGCUGGCGGCGUGCUUAACACAUGCAAGUCGAACGCGAAAGCCCUCCGGGGUGAGUAGAGUGGCGAACGGGUGAGUAACACGUGGGCAACCUGCCCCAAGGAGCGGGACAACCCGAGGAAACUCGGGCUAAUACCGCAUGAUUCGCCGGCACCUAAGUGCCGGCGGCAAAUGGUAGCUUCGGCCUCCGCCUUGGGAUGGGCCCCCGGCGCAUUAGCUUGUUGGUGAGGUAAUGGCUCACCAAGGCGACGAUGCGUAGCUGGUCUGGGAGGACGAUCAGCCACACUGGGACUGAGACACGGCCCAGACUCCUACGGGAGGCAGCAGUGGGGAAUCUUGCGCAAUGGGCGGAAGCCUGACGCAGCAACGCCGCGUGUGGGAAGACGGCCUUCGGGUUGUAAACCACUUUCAGGGGGGACGAAGCUUCCAGGGUUAAUAGCCCAUGGGGUGACGGUACCCCAGAAGAAGCCCCGGCUAACUACGUGCCAGCAGCCGCAGUAA
This 505-nucleotide ribosomal RNA is filed under the name uncultured bacterium. Its description in RNAcentral is "partial 16S ribosomal RNA". It matches the Rfam family "Bacterial small subunit ribosomal RNA", at positions 28 to 523 of the family's 1533-position model. The record is from RNAcentral.